ACAUCCAAGGAAGGCAGCAGGCGCGAAAAUUAUCCAAUCCUGAUUCAGGGAGGUAGUGAAACAAAUAAUGAACUAGGAUUUAUCCUGGGGUCACAAUGGGCUUGAUUUGCAAACUUUAUUUAGCGAGGAACAAUUGGAGGGCAAGUCUGGUGCCAGCAGCCGCGGUAAUUCCAGCUCCAAUAGUGUAUAUUAAUGUUCCUGCAGUUAUUCGAUGCUCGUAGUUGGAUUUCUGGAGGCUGAGAUCGGAGGGUAGCCAAGGUUACCGCUGAACUCUUCCUUCAUCCACCUGUUAACGUUGUCCGGGAUUCGUUUCUCGGCUUCGGGCUCAGGCAUAUACUUUUACCCUUUUUUCUAUAUUUAUUGUUUUGAGUAAAUUAUAGUGUUUCAGGCAGGCGUGCGCCGGAAUACUUUAGCAUGGAAUAAUCGAAUUGGACCGUGUAUUCUUAUUGAAUUCUUCCUUAUUGUUGGUUCAAGGACACGGAAAUGGUUAAUAGGGAUAGUGUUUUUAUUAUCAGGGGAGGCAUUAAUAUUUAAUUUCCAGAGGUGAAAUUCUUUGAAAUAUUAAAGACUAACUUAUGCGAAAGCAUUUAUUAUUGCCAAUAAUGUUUUCAUUAAUCAUUGAACGAAAGUUAGGGGAUCAAAGACGAUCAGAUACCGUCCUAGUCUUAACCAUAAACGUUGCCGACUAGGGAUCGGANGGCGUGCACAUUCCGCCUUCGGCACCUUACGAGAAAUCAAAGUCUUUUGGGUUCUGGGGGUAGUAUGGNCGCAAGGCUGANCUUAAAGGAAUUGACGGAAGGGCACCACCAGGAGUGGAGCUUGCNGCUCAAUUUGACUCAACACGGGAAA
This 849-nucleotide ribosomal RNA is filed under the name uncultured ciliate. Its description in RNAcentral is "SSU rRNA". It matches the Rfam family "Eukaryotic small subunit ribosomal RNA", at positions 412 to 1212 of the family's 1831-position model. The record is from RNAcentral. Lineage: Eukaryota; Ciliophora.